UUUUGAUACCUACUUUUUAAGUAUUCAUAUCUAUGUAAAACAUAUAGCUAACUUUGAGAAGAGAUGAAUGUCCCCUUCUCUGCAUUGUAGAUGAAAAUGUAAAUAUGAGCAAGAGAGAGAGAUGAAAGAAAGAAACUAGAUGUUACAUGGUUUUGAGAAUCCUCUCAUCUAAAAUUUUAGAAGUCUUAUUCUAAGACUGAAGAGAGAAUCAUUUUUAACGCAUAAGAGAUAGUGGCCACCCCUUUUAUAUCAUAGGGUUAGGGUGGCAGCAUUUGAGAUUUGGGAGUUGCCAUAAAUCUAGCUUUGAUGAUUUUCCACCUACAUUUGAUAAUUUCUCAAUUUGAGAUAGUUAUUCAGCUUAUGCAAUAUUUUCAAUCAUCUAAUGAAUCUCUUCAGGUGUUAAUUCUUCAUCGUACAACAAAGUGUGAAUAAAAUAGUACCUUAGAGUGAUGUUUUCGUAUUUACCACCUAGCUCAACAAUUAAACUCUUGAAUCAUACAAAUUCAUUCAUAGCCUUUGUAAUGGUCCAAAUCUACUUAGUAGUGGAGAGAGAAAAACUUUUAUGUAGUUUUAAAAAGCAAUCUCACAACAAUAUCACUGACAAUGUAGAUGUAUCUAAUGAUGAUUGUCCUCUUGCCAACAUUACCUCCUAGAUCUGAAUUUUUAAAACCUUAUAAUUUCAAUUUUUUAUUUUAAAACAAAGAGUCAUACAUGAAGUAUCAUGCAAGUAGUGAAAAAUUUGUUGUAUACUUGCCUAUUUUUGCCUUCUUUUAUGCCAUUAAUGUGUUUUCUUCUCUCAUUGCUUGAGCAAUAUCUAGUCUAAUGUAAACCAUGGGAUACAUGAGACUACCUAAAGCAGAGGCAAAAAGAAUCAUCUCCAUAUCUUGAUGUUUCUUUGCUGCUUUUAGGAAUUUAUCUAUA
Molecule: long non-coding RNA, 921 nt
Filed under: Spirodela polyrhiza (greater duckweed)
Lineage: Eukaryota; Viridiplantae; Streptophyta; Magnoliopsida; Alismatales; Araceae
Description: long non-coding RNA (SPOL_LNC002504)
Source: RNAcentral